GAGUUUGAUCGUGGCUCAGAAUCAACGCUGGCGGCGUGCCUAACACAUGCAAGUCGAACGAGAAAGGGACUUCGGUCCUGAGUAUAGUGGCGCACGGGGUGAGUAACACGUGAAUGAUCUACCUCCGAGUGGGGAAUAACUAAGAGAAAUCUUAGCUAAUACCGCAUAACACUUACGAGUCAAAGCAGCAAUGCGCUUGGAGAGGAGUUCGCGGCAGAUUAGUUAGUUGGCGGGGUAAUGGCCCACCAAGACGAUGAUCUGUAUCCGGCCUGAGAGGGCGCACGGACACACUGGAACUGAAACACGGUCCAGACUCCUACGGGAGGCAGCAGUGGGGAAUUUUGCGCAAUGGGGGAAACCCUGACGCAGCAACGCCGCGUGGAGGAUGAAGUAUCUUGGUACGUAAACUCCUUUCGAUGGGGAAGAUAAUGACGGUACCCAUAGAAGAAGCCCCGGCUAACUUCGUGCCAGCCGCCGCCGUAAC
Molecule: ribosomal RNA, 484 nt
Filed under: uncultured bacterium
Lineage: Bacteria
Description: bacterial SSU rRNA
Rfam family: Bacterial small subunit ribosomal RNA
Source: RNAcentral